Molecule: ribosomal RNA, 593 nt
Filed under: Triticum aestivum (bread wheat)
Lineage: Eukaryota; Viridiplantae; Streptophyta; Magnoliopsida; Poales; Poaceae
Description: partial small subunit ribosomal RNA
Source: RNAcentral
CCUCGAAGAGUUCACGUUUUUUGGUAAUCGCGAUUGAAUCGAGCCAAAGGGUAGGUCAACCUCUACAGAAGACCCAGCGCCUCGAGUAGGGCGCCGCCGCGGUUGCGCCUCACUUCGUUCUUUCUCUUAUUCGACAAGCUCCUACGUGAGCGGAUGAUGCCGCUCCCGUGCGGGCUGGCGACCGAGUUCCACAGGGCGCGGUACCCGCCCUGGUUCUGCCGGCUGCUCCACGCGGCGGUGAUGCUCUAGGAGCUGCCGCUGUAGUUCGACUAGCUCAGGCCGUCCCAGGGCAAGGGGUUCAUAUUAUGGGUCCCCCGGACCUUGACUAAGUAGUUAGUUCCUCGUUUCAAAGACUUAAGACUUCUAGGACGUUUGUCCUAUUAGACAACUAUAUUAGAUCAGGAAUCGACCCUGGUACAAUAACUUCGCUCGUAUUAAUACAUGACAUACUACUUCUAACACCCGUGAACCAAUCCUUAUUUUCUUCUUUUGUACACGCACACAUGUAUUAUAAUCCAAACAUUCGUUUAGUUCACACAAAGCAGAACAUCUGCCAUCGUGUAUAAAAGUAAUACAUGUCAUAAUGAGGAAGG